UACGUAAGGUGCGAGCGUUGUCCGGAAUUAUUGGGCGUAAAGAGCUCGUAGGCGGUGUGUCACGUCGGCCGUGAAAACCUGCAGCUUAACUGUGGGCGUGCGGUCGAUACGGGCAUCACUGGAGUUCGGCAGGGGAGACUGGAAUUCCUGGUGUAGCGGUGAAAUGCGCAGAUAUCAGGAGGAACACCGGUGGCGAAGGCGGGUCUCUGGGCCGUAACUGACGCUGAGGAGCGAAAGCAUGGGGAGCGAACAGG
This 254-nucleotide ribosomal RNA is filed under the name uncultured bacterium. RNAcentral describes it as "partial 16S ribosomal RNA". It matches the Rfam family "Bacterial small subunit ribosomal RNA", at positions 524 to 776 of the family's 1533-position model. The record is from RNAcentral.